CUUGGCGACCAUAGCGUUGUGGACCCACCUGAUUCCAUGCCGAACUCAGAAGUGAAACGCAAUAGCGUCGAUGGUAGUGUGGGGCUUCCCCAUGUGAGAGUAGAACAUCGCCAGGC
This 116-nucleotide ribosomal RNA is filed under the name Vibrio fortis. RNAcentral also lists the same sequence under 4 other names. Lineage: Bacteria; Pseudomonadati; Pseudomonadota; Gammaproteobacteria; Vibrionales; Vibrionaceae. The record is from RNAcentral.